CAAGAUCACACCACUGCUCCAGCCUAGGCUACAGAGUGAGACUCUAUCUCAAAAAAAUAAAAAUAAAUAAGUAAUAAGAGAUCAAGAAAACAGACAUAAAACAAUGAUAGUGAUAAUAAGAUUGAAAGAAGAGAUUACAAAAGAAGUUUUUUGGUUUUUUUUUAGUCAAAAACGUAAACGUUGCCGUCUCUGAAGGGUGACCAAGUAUUUAGGUCAUCCCUGGUUCUGCUUAAGAGAAAAAGUUCUUUUCUCCUUCCUUGUGUUUUGUGGUUGCAGCUUGCUUUGAAGGCAUUUUCUACUGAUUAUCACUCAGCUGCUGCAUGUGUCUGAACUGGGAAGAAAAUAGGGAAGAAAAAUGUCUCAUGUCAGCCUCACAUCACAGAGAAGCAUGGAAAGCCCCCAUCAAUCACAGACAAGAGGCUAGCCCUAGUCAGAAGAGCUUAUCUCCGGCUACUUUCCUUUCAGGUGGGAACAGUUGAAAUUGCCACUAAAUCACAAAAGGAAAAUCACUCCUUGGUGUUUUUCCAUCUCCAGGAGAUGUGCUAGUUUUAAUGGCCCAUUGGCCAUUGGCCUGUGCAUCCACUGAUGUUGGCAUCCGUAGAUGCUGAAGAUGAACGCCAACCGUUAUAUGAUAACCCAGUAAAACAAAACCAGUUAAGCAUCUCAA
Macaca mulatta (Rhesus monkey) is the source of this 667-nucleotide non-coding RNA. NCBI's taxonomy places the organism in Eukaryota, Metazoa, Chordata, Mammalia, Primates, Cercopithecidae. The record is from RefSeq and is a predicted model, not a curated record.